CGCCAAAAAUGCGUGUUUAUGCCAAAAAAAUAGAUUGGCAUGGGCUCGCUGUCUGUGCCAGCACAGUCUGGCACAGGAACGGGGAUGGAUGGAGCCCCUGUGUCCUGGGUUGGGACUGGAGGGACCCCUGUGCCCAGGGAUGGACAGACCCCCUGUGUCCAUGGAAAGGAUGGACAGACUCCCUGUGCCCAGGGAUGGACAGACCCCUGUGUCCAGGGAUGGACAGACCCCCUGUGUCCAGGGAUGGACAGACCCCCUGUGUCCAGGGAUGGACAGACCCCUGUGCCCAGGGAUGGACAGACCCCCUGUGCCCAGGGAUGGACAGACUCCUGUGCCCAGGGAUGGACAGACUCCCUGUGCCCAGGGAUGGACAGACCCCCUGUGCCCAGGGAUGGACAGACUCCCUGUCCAUGGAAAGGAUGGACAGACCCCCUGUGUCCAGGGAUGGACAGACCCCCUGUCCAUGGAAAGGAUGGACAGACUCCCUGUCCAUGGAAAGGAUGGACAGACCCCCUGUGUCCAUGGAUGGACAGACCCCCUGUGUCCAUGGAAAGGAUGGACAGACCCCCUGUCCAUGGACAGGACGGACAGACUCCCUGUCCAUGGACAGGAUGGACAGACCCCCUGUGUCCAUGGACAGGGAUGGACAGACCCCCUGUGUCCAUGGAUGGACAGACUCCCUGUGUCCAGGGAUGGACAGACCCCCUGUGUCCAUGGAAAGGAUGGACAGACUCCCUGUCCAAGGAAAGGAUGGACAGACUCCCUGUCCAUGGACAGGACGGACAGACUCCCUGUGCCCAAGGAUGGACAGACUCCCUGUCCAUGCACAGGACGGACAGACUCCCUGUCCAUGGAAAGGAUGGACAGACUCCCUGUCCAUGCACAGGACGGACAGACUCCCUGUCCAUGGAAAGGAUGGACAGACUCCCUGUCCAUGGACAGGACGGACAGACUCCUGUGUCUUUCCAAGCAGGAAUUACAAAGCCCUGCAG
Molecule: long non-coding RNA, 992 nt
Filed under: Lonchura striata (white-rumped munia)
Lineage: Eukaryota; Metazoa; Chordata; Aves; Passeriformes; Estrildidae
Description: domestica (Bengalese finch) lncRNA (ENSLSDG00000001855.1)
Source: RNAcentral